This 497-nucleotide ribosomal RNA is filed under the name uncultured bacterium. RNAcentral's name for it is "partial 16S ribosomal RNA". It matches the Rfam family "Bacterial small subunit ribosomal RNA", at positions 28 to 507 of the family's 1533-position model. The record is from RNAcentral.
GAUGAACGCUGGCGGCGUGCCUAAUACAUGCAAGUCGAGCGAACAGACGAGGAUCUUGCUCCUCUGACGUUAGCGGCGGACGGGUGAGUAACACGUGGAUAACCUACCUAUAAGACUGGGAUAACUUCGGGAAACCGGAGCUAAUACCGGAUAAUAUAUUGAACCGCAUGGUUCAAUAGUGAAAGACGGUUUUGCUGUCACUUAUAGAUGGAUCCGCGCCGCAUUAGCUAGUUGGUAAGGUAACGGCAUACCAAGGCAACGAUGCGUAGCCGACCUGAGAGGGGGAUCAGCCCCACUGGAACUGAGACACGGUACAGACUCCUACGGGAGGCAGCAGUAGGGAAUCUUCCGCAAGGGGCGGAAGCCUGACGGAGCAACGCCGCGUGAGUGAUGAAGGUCUUCGGAUCGUAAAACUCUGUUAUUAGGGAAGAACAAAUGUGUAAGUAACUAUGCACGUCUUGACGGUACCUAAUCAGAAAGCCACGGCUAACUACGUG